CAACCUCCUCCGACCACCUCCGAACGCAUCGGCGCGCGCGGUGACGAAAUCCCCCAAACUGGCAAGGCAGCCAUUCCUCGUGGUCGCGACCGAGGGGCCCAAUCGCGGCGAGGGGAAUGGGUUGGUGGCCGGAAUCGAGCUAGGUACCCGCUGCUACCGAGGUGGUGCUCGUGCGCCUCGCCUCCGCCGUGCGGAGGUACCCUCCGGGCUACGGGAGAGCUGCCGCCGCGUCCAAACCUAGUAAAGCGCAAUCAGCAUCGCGCAACGGCGAGGCGGAGUCAAUCGGUGGUGAUUAGAAGGUGGAGAGGAGAUGCAGGUGGUGCGCGGGAGGAAGUUGGUGGGCGGCCUUGGGACCUGACUGGGCUCACGUUACCACCAUUCCUGUCGUGGGCGCAGCAUGGGAGGAGGUCGCAGCGGCAGAAGUUGCUGUGA
RNAcentral lists this long non-coding RNA (432 nucleotides) under Oryza sativa Indica Group (long-grained rice). Its description in RNAcentral is "lncRNA OsZS97_02G003490". Lineage: Eukaryota; Viridiplantae; Streptophyta; Magnoliopsida; Poales; Poaceae. The record is from RNAcentral.